GACGAACGCUGGCGGCGUGCUUAACACAUGCAAGUCGAGCGGUAAGGCCCUUUCGGGGUACGACGAGCGGCGAACGGGUGAGUAACACGUGGGUGACCUGCCCUCAGCUCUGGGAUAAGCCUGGGAAACUGGGUCUAAUACUGGAUAUGACUCCACGGUGCAUGUCGUGGGGUGGAAAGCCUUGUGCGGCUGAGGAUGGGCCCGCGGCCUAUCAGCUUGUUGGUGGGGUGAUGGCCUACCAAGGCGACGACGGGUAGCCGGCCUGAGAGGGCGACCGGCCACACUGGGACUGAGACACGGCCCAGACUCCUACGGGAGGCAGCAGUGGGGAAUCUUGCGCAAUGGGCGAAAGCCUGACGCAGCGACGCCGCGUGAGGGAUGACGGCCU
Molecule: ribosomal RNA, 388 nt
Filed under: uncultured bacterium
Lineage: Bacteria
Description: bacterial SSU rRNA
Rfam family: Bacterial small subunit ribosomal RNA
Source: RNAcentral